GUCAAACAAACAGAUGUGCAAAUAGACCUCAUGGACUGGAAGAUGGAAAAUGUUGAAAAAGAGCUAGUGCAGCCUAUCAACGCUCAGGAGACCUGCAUCAUGAAUCUGCUUAAAUCAGUUUCGGAGCCAGUUGCCUUAAUGCUGACACCAGGUUAGGACAGUAUUUUGGUCAUGUUGCUUAUGGCUUUUUAUUUUCUAUCUUAUUAUGUGAACUAUAAUUGUAAGGGUGUUAAGAAAAAUCGUCGGAUUCUCACACUGAGAAAUGUACUAAAGUAGUUGUUGAUUAAAAAUAAUGCUUGAACUACAUUAACAACCCGUGAUUAACUUGUGCCAAUUUUGGCUGUAUGUAUAUAGGUAGGUAUGAAUAAAUUGAAUCCAUGCUUCGUAAUGCGCUACUAGGAUGCUGACGCCUAAACCCUGAAGCUCCCUUCAGCUCGGAGAACAGAAGAGGACCAGUGGCCUAGUGAGGGGGAUAAGGGGGCAUCAGGGGAGAGCGCUACUUACAAAGAGGCGCCAAAUGGUCCGCAAAACAAAAAAUUACUGCAUAAUUUUUAUUUUUAUUAUAAUUGAUUUCUGUACAAUAUAUUUUAAAUUUAGUGCCAGUGUAAUAUUAAAUAAAUGAUAAUUCGUAAAUAAAAAGGAAAAAAGUAGUGUUCCUUUUUUAGUGUUCAUACUAGUAUAAAUCAAACUUAUUUUUUUUUUUUAAAAUACUUCUUUAUAAAUAUGUAAAACAGAUAAUAGGUCUCUUUUAAACUAAUUCUAGACGAUCGUAUUUUUCGAAAUCUACUCGUUUUUUUUUUCAAUUACAUUUUUUGUCUCAAAUUUAAAGCCUAGCUUGAGCCUUUUGACUAUAUUUAUUUCUUAAUUGCUAAUAUAUUUUACAUAUAAUAUUAUAUGGUUUACGAAUGGGGGGGGGGGGGCGCUAAAAAGGUAUUUGCCCCGGAUGCGAGCUAAAAUCGCUGCGCCAUUGAAGAGGACAUACCCACAUCAACACGUGAGAAUAGCCAGGGCCAAGUUCGUCAAUCUGGUUAUGCUAAUGUAGUUCUGGCUUUACUGAAACACUGAUAUUAAAACCAAAUUUGUCGAUACGCCCUAAAAAAAAAACAAAAAAAAAAUACUUGCUCGUUCACUGCGCUCGUGAAACUACUUCCAACCAAAUCAAAUACAAAUACCCACGAAAUAUCAAGCCAUAAUUAUCAUGCUUCUUGUAAUAUGGAUGUGCUUAUGCAAAAGUGCCUCAUACAAAAUUUAUAAAAAAAAAAAAAAAGGUUGUCUGUAAAGUCGGUUUACUGACGCUAGUUGAACGUGACAACGUCAUAAGAAAAUAUUGAUGGAAUGGUUUCAUUUUUCAAAAGAAAAUUUUAAUUUUAUUUGUUUGAUUCAUAUUUUAUAUGGACAAUUGACAUCACAUUCACUUUUCACUGAACUUCAUACUUGACGAAAACAUGUAAAUGUAUUAUUGUAUAGCAGCUGUUCACGCGGAUGCAUCGCUCACUCAAGUAGGAGAGAGACAGAUGUCGAACGCUGCCGAACGCGGAGACCGAUUGUGCCUCUUUGUCGCUUGUUGCGCACUCUCGCUUGCACUUCAAGCCUUAAAUGGAACGCCUCAAUGAGUCACGUUUUUUCGUGCGUGCAGCCGGCUCCAUCGAAUUAUAAGACGUUGUCAUGUCAAAAAAUAUAUUCUUUUACUGCAGCAUAAACACAUCUGUAUUCGCCGGGCUUACCCAUGGUACAGAGUUGAAGCCCUUAUUACCAAAGCCCACGGAACUGGGUCCGCGCUUACGUUGGACUUGCCAAUAAUAUAUUUUGCCGGAGCUCCUUACAUGUAUAAUAUGUAAUUAUAUAGUUGUAUCAAUGAUGUGAUACGAUGUUAUUGAGUUGACUGAAUUCCGUAGUGGUAUAAGAUUUAAGUGAAUAAUUUAUGAAAUGGUCUAUCAAAGAUUUCGUGUUGGAAUUCACAUAAACGAUAUAAUCUUCAUUGAUUAAAACUAUACUACAUUAAUUAAUAAAUGUGCCGUAAAGGAAUAAACAUCACAUUUGGUCUUUAUUGACUGUCAGUUUCUAAGACUAUCGAAAGAGACGAACCAAUAGCGUUUUCUCUUUCCCGCUGUUUAUUUUUUUCAGCUACAAUAGUUUGCCGAAUAAAUCACUUAACCUAAAUCACUAUUGAGUUCAGCCCCCGAAAUAUGAGGCUUUAAUGUCUUGUCAAUGGUUUUUUAAUAAUUUAGUUGUUUGGAUAAAAUUAUUGUGACCGAAUACAUUUUUACUGAGGUCUCCUCAUAAUUCAG
Bombyx mori (domestic silkworm) is the source of this 2288-nucleotide long non-coding RNA. RefSeq lists it as uncharacterized. The transcript has 2 exons. The record is from RefSeq and is a predicted model, not a curated record. Lineage: Eukaryota; Metazoa; Arthropoda; Insecta; Lepidoptera; Bombycidae.